UGGGGAAUUUUGGACAAUGGGCGAAAGCCUGAUCCAGCAAUGCCGCGUGUGUGAAGAAGGCCUUCGGGUUGUAAAGCACUUUUGUCCGGAAAGAAAUCCUUGGCUCUAAUACAGUCGGGGGAUGACGGUACCGGAAGAAUAAGCACCGGCUAACUACGUGCCAGCAGCCGCGGUAAUACGUAGGGUGCAAGCGUUAAUCGGAAUUACUGGGCGUAAAGCGUGCGCAGGCGGUUUGCUAAGACCGAUGUGAAAUCCCCGGGCUCAACCUGGGAACUGCAUUGGUGACUGGCAGGCUAGAGUAUGGCAGAGGGGGGUAGAAUUCCACGUGUAGCAGUGAAAUGCGUAGAGAUGUGGAGGAAUACCGAUGGCGAAGGCAGCCCCUGGCAAUACUGACGCUCAUGCACGAAAGCGUGGGGAGCAAACAGGAUUAGAUACCCUGGUAGUCCACGCCCUAAAACGAUGUCAACUAGUUGUUGGGGAUUCAUUUCCUUAGUAACGUAGCUAACGCGUGAAGUUGACCGCCUGGGGAGUACGGUCGCAAGAUUAAAACUCAAAGGAAUUGACGGGGUCAUAGCUGUUUCCU
RNAcentral lists this ribosomal RNA (583 nucleotides) under uncultured bacterium. RNAcentral's name for it is "partial 16S ribosomal RNA". It matches the Rfam family "Bacterial small subunit ribosomal RNA", at positions 355 to 1375 of the family's 1533-position model. The record is from RNAcentral.